GACGAACGCUGGCGGCGUGCUUAACACAUGCCAGUCGAACGGAAAGGCCCCUUUGGGGGUACUCGAGUGGCGAACGGGUGAGUAACACGUGAGUAACCUGCCCUUGACUUCGUGAUAACUUCAGGAAACUGGGGCUAAUACCGGAUAGGAAUCCUUGCUGCAUGGUGGGGGUUGGAAAGCUUCGGCGGUUUUGGAUGGACUCGCGGCUUAUCAGCUUGUUGGUGGGGUAGUGGCUUACCAAGGCUUUGACGGGUAGCCGGCCUGAGAGGGCGACCGGCCACAUUGGGACUGAGAUACGGCCCAGACUCCUACGGGAGGCAGCAGUGGGGAAUAUUGCACAAUGGGCGGAAGCCUGAUGCAGCAACGCCGCGUGCGGGAUGACGGCCUUCGGGUUGUAAACCGCUUUCAGCAGGGGCGAAGCUUGUGGUGACGGUACCUGCAGAAGAAGCACCGGCAAACUACGU
This 464-nucleotide ribosomal RNA is filed under the name uncultured bacterium. RNAcentral describes it as "partial 16S ribosomal RNA". It matches the Rfam family "Bacterial small subunit ribosomal RNA", at positions 28 to 506 of the family's 1533-position model. The record is from RNAcentral.